GCGAGUCAUUGUAGUAAUACAAGGCAGACGGCUCAGUAACGCGUACCCUACCUAACCUAUGGACGGGAAUAACCUCGGGAAACUGAGCAUAAUGCCCGAUAGAACAUUAUACCUGGAAUGGUUUAUGUUCGAAAUGAUUUAUCGCCGUAGGAUGGGACUGCGGCCUAUCAGUUUGUUGGUGAGGUAAUGGCCCACCAAGACUAUUACAGGUACGGGCUCUGAGAGGAGUAGCCCGGAGAUGGGUACUGAGACACGGACCCAGGCCCUAUGGGGCGCAGCAGGCGAGAAAACUUUGCAAUGUGCGAAAGCACGACAAGGUUAAUCCGAGUGGUUUCUGCUAAAGGAACCUUUUGUCGGUCCUAGAAACACCGAUGAAUAAGGGGUGGGCAAGUUCUGGUGUCAGCCGCCGCGGUAAAACCAGCACCUCAAGUGGUCAAGAUGAUUAUUGGGCCUA
This 454-nucleotide ribosomal RNA is filed under the name uncultured crenarchaeote. RNAcentral's name for it is "bacterial SSU rRNA". It matches the Rfam family "Archaeal small subunit ribosomal RNA", at positions 53 to 512 of the family's 1478-position model. Lineage: Archaea; Thermoproteati; Thermoproteota. The record is from RNAcentral.